GUGGGGAAUAUUGGACAAUGGGCGAAAGCCUGAUCCAGCCAUGCCGCGUGUGUGAAGAAGGUCUUCGGAUUGUAAAGCACUUUAAGUUGGGAGGAAGGGCAGUAAGUUAAUACCUUGCUGUUUUGACGUUACCGACAGAAUAAGCACCGGCUAACUUCGUGCCAGCAGCCGCGGUAAUACGAAGGGUGCAAGCGUUAAUCGGAAUUACUGGGCGUAAAGCGCGCGUAGGUGGUUUUGUAAGUUGGAGGUGAAAUCCCCGGGCUCAACCUGGGAACUGCCUCCAAAACUGCAUGACUAUAGUGCGGUAGAGGGUAGUGGAAUUUCCUGUGUAGCGGUGAAAUGCGUAGAUAUAGGAAGGAACACCAGUGGCGAAGGCGACUACCUGGACUGAUACUGACACUGAGGUGCGAAAGCGUGGGGAGCAAACAGGAUUAGAAACCCGUGUAGUCC
This 450-nucleotide ribosomal RNA is filed under the name uncultured bacterium. RNAcentral describes it as "partial 16S ribosomal RNA". It matches the Rfam family "Bacterial small subunit ribosomal RNA", at positions 354 to 796 of the family's 1533-position model. The record is from RNAcentral.